Molecule: long non-coding RNA, 218 nt
Filed under: Mytilus galloprovincialis (Mediterranean mussel)
Lineage: Eukaryota; Metazoa; Mollusca; Bivalvia; Mytilida; Mytilidae
Source: RNAcentral
AUAUAGAUUAAGGUGGCUCGUGGGUACAAAAAUUUCAGCAAAAAAUUGAACCUUUAUUUUUUCAUUACAAAUUUUAUUUAUUACACUAUUAGUUAUUACUUUAUGAUAUGGUACAAAAAUCAACCCAAAAAAUCGAUUUGGUUUGGCCCCUGGUGACUUUUAAAAUGAUUAUAUCAUUGAAAAAGCUCCAAAUUAUCUCCCUUUGGUGCAAAAAUGCC